UACGUAGGGUCCGAGCGUUGUCCGGAAUUAUUGGGCGUAAAGAGCUCGUAGGCGGUUUGUCGCGUCUGCUGUGAAAUCCCGAGGCUCAACCUCGGGUCUGCAGUGGGUACGGGCAGACUGGAGUGCGGUAGGGGAGAAUGGAAUUCCUGGUGUAGCGGUGGAAUGCGCAGAUAUCAGGAGGAACACCGAUGGCGAAGGCAGUUCUCUGGGCCGUAACUGGCGCUGAGGAGCGAAAGCGUGGGGAGCGAACAGG
RNAcentral lists this ribosomal RNA (253 nucleotides) under uncultured bacterium. RNAcentral describes it as "partial 16S ribosomal RNA". It matches the Rfam family "Bacterial small subunit ribosomal RNA", at positions 524 to 776 of the family's 1533-position model. The record is from RNAcentral.